Monodelphis domestica (gray short-tailed opossum) is the source of this 1781-nucleotide long non-coding RNA. The record is from Ensembl. NCBI's taxonomy places the organism in Eukaryota, Metazoa, Chordata, Mammalia, Didelphimorphia, Didelphidae.
UUGUUCAUGAUAAGAUGAGUCAUGUCAUCUUUCCUAACUAAGUUAAUAUGCUUUAUUGUUCUAGGAUGCUCUGUUGAUGAAAACAGAAGUAUAAAGGCUGUAUCAAGGGAUCUGAAAUGCAGCAUUGUUGUGGAAAAUGGGGUCCAGGAAGGUGGAAGCUUUGCCAAAGUUCACCUGGCUGGUAAGUAGCAGCUUCGUAUGAUCAUUUGCAAUGACCAUAUGACUUGGAUAAAUAUACAACAAUCAAAUAUUUGAUAUUAUUGAUGAAUGGCACCACUGUCCUUCCUACUUACGUUCUUCAUAUUUUCUAGAUUAAUAAGAGAAAUGAACUUAAGAAGUAAUAUGAGUGGGUCUUUUAGAAAAGGGCAGAGGAUGAUUUGAACUGAUGAGGUUGUAUAUCAAAUUUGAAGGAAGUAUUGUGAAAGACUCCAUCAUUUCCUAAUUACAAGUCUAUCUUGGAAAAAAAAAGGAAAAAAAAACCCUCACCUUCCAUCUUAGAAUCAAUUCCAUGUUAGGCAGUAAGGGUUAAGUGACUUACCCAGGGUCAUGUAAGUAGGAAGUAUCUGAGUUCAGAUUUGAACCCAGAACUUUCCAUUUCUAGGCCUGGCUCUAAAUCCACUGAGCCACCUUGCUAUCUGCUCCCCACUAAAAGUCAAUCUUAAAGGCUCAGUGUUAAGACUUAUUCUCAUCAUAUUACAUGUGUUUUAAUAGGCUGCUUAGUACUUUAUGAAAAAAAUUACAUCUCUCUAGCACAGAGUACUACUACAUAAAAAGCAAGGAUCUGGCUUAGGUGAUCCUUUAUUUCUCUAAAUUUCAGAAUUGUUGCUUGUGAAAACAUUGCAUUAUUCUAAGUAUAUUCCUAAGCAUGAUCUUAUAGCCUCCAUUUCAUUUGGAAAAAUAUCUCAGGGCUUAAGUGUAUUUUAAGCUAUGAGUCUAUAGUGUGACAUGGUAGGCCUCCAAAGCUAAUGUGGUUUUAAAAAAGCAGUAAUAGAGAUAUAAUAUCUGUGAAUAAGGGAAUGAUCAUGUCAUUCUCCUCUGCCCUGCUCAAAUCAGAUCUGGAAUGUUGUGUUUAAUUCUGCUCGCCACAUUUUUAGAAAACCACUGAUAAGCUGGAGAAAGUGCAGAGGAGGACAAUUAAGAUGCUGAAGUAUCACUAGUUUGUGUCAUAUAAAGGCUGAUUGAAGAAAUGGUGAUGUGAGGAUAUUUAAUCUAGACUGAGAAGAUUUGGGAGGUAAAGAGAACAUGAUAACUCUAUUUGAAGGACUAUGAGACUAAAGAAUGAUAAGACUGGUUUAGGGGUUGAAGCAAGGAAAAACUCCUUAAUUAUUACAGCCAUUCCAAAGUGGAAGAAGAGAUGAGAAGAUGAGAGAUGCUGGUGUGUCUCUCACUGGAGAUCGUUAAGCAAAAGCUGGAGGACCACUUGUUAGGGACAUGAUUCUAAGGGUCUUUUUUCUGAUUGAAACCCAUUAUGACUGAGGUUGCACAGAGCUCUAAAACCUUGGGUUUCCGGGAUUUUCACAUCGGGUUAGUAUAACAAUUCAAUAAGAUGAUGUCUAUAAAGUCCUUUGUAAGCAUAUGCAAAUGUAGUCUGUGAGCUGUUGGUAUUAUUAUUGCUCGGCUGAGAAAAGCCAUAAACUUACACAUGUUCAUUUCACAGUUAUCUUCUUCUGUCCCUCAUGCCAUCCUGCUUUCUCUGUCCAUUGCCUGAUACUAACCCAAUAAUUGUAAUUAUUUGGUAAACACAUAGACAUUUGAAAUAAAGAAGAUGAGGCCCUAUGCCA